This 136-nucleotide ribosomal RNA is filed under the name uncultured bacterium. RNAcentral describes it as "partial 16S ribosomal RNA". It matches the Rfam family "Bacterial small subunit ribosomal RNA", at positions 355 to 508 of the family's 1533-position model. The record is from RNAcentral.
UGGGGAAUAUUGGACAAUGGGGGCAACCCUGAUCCAGCCAUGCCGCGUGAGUGAUGAAGGCCCUAGGGUUGUAAAGCUCUUUCGGCGGGGACGAUAAUGACGGUACCCGCAGAAGAAGCCCCGGCUAACUUCGUGC